Molecule: ribosomal RNA, 408 nt
Filed under: uncultured bacterium
Lineage: Bacteria
Description: partial 16S ribosomal RNA
Rfam family: Bacterial small subunit ribosomal RNA
Source: RNAcentral
GACGAACGCUGGCGGCGUGCUUAACACAUGCAAGUCGAACGAAGUGGCGAACGGGUGAGUAACGCGUAAUCAACCUGCCCUUCAGAGGGGGACACCAGUUGAAAACGACUGCUAAUACCGCAUACUGAAGGAGUGGAUUGCGUCUGAUUAGCUAGUUGGAGGGGUAAAGGCCCACCAAGGCGAUGAUCAGUAGCCGGUCCGAGAGGAUGAACGGCCAAAUUGGGACUGGGACACGGCCCAGACUCCUACGGGGGGGAGCAGUGGGGAAUCUUUCGCAAUGGACGAAAGUCUGACGGAGCAACGCCGCGUGAGUGAUGAAGGGCUUCGGGUUGUAAAGCUCUGUUAAGCGGGACGCGGUACCGGAAUAGAAAGCCACGGCUAACUACGUGCCAGCAGCCGCGGUAAUUC